CCCUUCAGGAGCUACUUAGGUUGGCCCUGCCUUUGCAAGGAAGAGCUACUCCUGGCUGGCGCUGAGAACACAGCGCCAGCCUUUGUUUAGCUCCUGAAGAGGCCGUGUGGCCCCCACUCGGGAGCUAAACUAGCCUCCCCAUGUCUGACGUCAUACACGGGGGGCGUGUCGACGUCCCUCUCACGGCCCGAUUGGUCGGCGGCCCAGGUUCUUUGAACCCAUUGGCCCAAUAGUGGCUCUGCCCCUGCUACAGUCAGUUUCAAGCAACAUCCAUGGAUUCUGUUGCAGUCAGGCAAGCUAGCUCUGAUUUUGUGAAUGCCAUCAGUUUAAUCAGAGGCACAAUUGCAACACUUGUCAAGGGAAAUUUGUUCCCAGCACAUCAAACUUUCCUCAGUGGGCACUUGGUGAAGCCAUAGAAGCUCACCCAAUGCUGGAUAAAUACAGACUGAAAAUGGAACUUACAGUAUUGUACAGAAGACAAGAAUUCUACUCUUCCAGGACUGUAUCCACACUGCUGUGUAUGCUCUCGGAGAGCAAUCUUGAAACAAGAUAAACUGUCAAGCAGCUGCAAAUCCCGAUCACCACGCCAAUGACAACAGCAGAAGCUGAGCAGACAUUCUCGGUAUGGAAGAGAAUUAAGACUUGCCUGCACAACACCAUGAAGGAAGAAAGACUGAAUGCAAUGGCUAUCUAUAGAGAAAUGGAUGAUAGCAGAAAUCCCAUACUUCAACCAUCGGACCACUGAAGUGUUUGCCAGACAAAAAGACUGCCGUGCAAACUUCCUCUACAAGACAUAAGAGGUGGCAAGCAACUCCUUGGGAAGCAGAAGGAGGGAGUCUUCAGAAGAGAAAGCGGAAGACUGGGAAGACUCUGGUACAGAUCCAGCAGGCCUUUUGGGCAACACAGGAAAAGUCUCUUCUGAUGGGCCAUGAGAAAGCGGGAGUCUUCAGAAGCCAAGGGAAGACUCCAGUCAAGAUGCAGCACUCACUUUGGGGCCAUUCAGGAAAAGCCUCUCCUGACAGGACAAGAGGCGGAGGCCACACAUCACACACUUCUCCUUGCUGGAACAAGAGCAGAACUUCAGGAACCACAAAUGCCCACUGGAGAGCAUCAGCAACAGAAGAGAGUCCACCCAGCAGUAAAGUUGCAGGGCCUCUGCUGAGAGGACCUCAGGGGUGUCUAGAAAAUGCCUGGAAAGAGAACAGGGCUGGCUGAGGCAGAAGGUGGAGCCGUCCUGGAAGAACCUUUGCAGGCAAGAGAUGAUCAUUUGAACCAGAGCCCACCAAGGUCUAGCCUCAGAAUCUGUUUUCAUUUGUCAGAAUUUAUCCCCAGAACCUGUGUUGAGAGCACCUUUAAGGAUGUUCCUUUGAGUAGUUUUACAGAAAGGUGGGGUAAAAAUAAAAAGCAGCUUUCAAAAGCCUCUGCAGUGUGAUGAAAGACAAAACAUCCAGCAUGCAUGAGCCUUAUUUUAGAAACUAAGC
Hemicordylus capensis (graceful crag lizard) is the source of this 1481-nucleotide long non-coding RNA. RefSeq lists it as uncharacterized. The record is from RefSeq and is a predicted model, not a curated record. NCBI's taxonomy places the organism in Eukaryota, Metazoa, Chordata, Lepidosauria, Squamata, Cordylidae. The transcript has 3 exons.